This is a long non-coding RNA of Monomorium pharaonis (pharaoh ant), 3684 nucleotides long. RefSeq lists it as uncharacterized. The record is from RefSeq and is a predicted model, not a curated record. The transcript is spliced from 2 exons. NCBI's taxonomy places the organism in Eukaryota, Metazoa, Arthropoda, Insecta, Hymenoptera, Formicidae.
CGUCAUUUCGUGACGUCAAGAAUAGUCAGUAAAUGACCAUUUUGGGACGUCAAAAUGAGCUUGCUACCUGGGUAAGUCAACGAAAUUUUGAGGUUAGCCUAACCCCUGUGUGUAGAAAUCGAAAGAAAAAUAAGGUGUAGAGGGUUAAUAGAUCUCUGAUAUAAUAAUAUUAUAAUAUAAAAGGCAAAAAAGAUAAAUUUGUAAGAAAAAGAUCAAGUCUUUUCCUUUUCUAACAGUUUAGAAUAAGUGUAUUUGAUUACUUUAAUUAAUUAAAAAUAUUUCAUACAUGAUGCAUACAACAAAUAAUUAUUCUCUGCUACACUUUUUUCGCAAAAUUUUCAAUUGUGUUUCAGUUUUAUAACAUUUUUUUUACAUAAAAUAUUUUAUUGUACAAAAUAAGUUAUUACUUUCUUUUUCUAUCUUUGUUCAAGUUUCAUCAACCUUUUUAUAUAUGUGUUUACAAUGUAUAUUUACAAAGUACAUGUUAAAUUCAUUCCACUGAACAAUAUGUCACUAAGAAACUUAUUACAGUUAAUUUGUAUAAAAGAGUUAUUAAUUACAAAAUUUUCCAGAUAGACGCAGAAGCAGCGAUACCAGACGUGGAUAGAUAGAUGUGAUGUUGUCGCAGCAUAAACUCAAUCGUUAUUCCAAUCAUAUGACCGAGAUUCCAUUCUCUGUCGCGAUCAUGGUGUAAGAAUAUACAAUAAUCCCGCACAAAGGCACCCAAUCAGGAAAUACGCUGUUUGAAGACAAAUAAAUAAUAGUUUUUUUUAAUACAAUGUUCUUCAUAAAAUAAAACUAUUAUGCAUUUUAAUUUAUUUGCAAUUAGAGUAAAUCAUGUUCUAUUAAUAAGAGCGCUGAAAUAUGUCCAGAUAGCCAGGCCUGCUAAAAUCACAUAUCAUGAAAGCUUUAGCAAAGAUUAUUUCAAUUUUAACAACAAUUUUAUGACAAGUAAUUGUCUUUUGCUUUGUCUUUUAAAAGUUUCGAGCAAAUUUAUGACAAAAGUUUUCAUCACAUAAUGCUAUAAAUAAUAGAGAAAGACUUGUACAUAAAUAUUACGUAGAAAAAUCGCAAAGUUUGCUCGGCAUGAUAAAAUGCAAAAUUUACGUAAAUAACAACAAACCUUACCACACGAUAUGACACUAAAUUUAUGACAAGAACAGAAAAAAUCUUGCUAAGCGGAAUAGUAAAUUAGUAGCAAGAACAAAAUAAAACUUGCCGAGCACACUUUUCAACAAAAUUGCGAUCACAAGGUGUGUCCGCAAAUAGCUUAGUUUUUGCUAGCAAGGCUUGUUGCAAAUAGUAUGAUGCAUAUUUUAUGCAAAUAACACAGUUGCAUUAUCGGGUUUUAACAAGGACUUCAUUUUUGGGUGACUUCACUAUCUACCCCAAGAUGGUACAUUUCUCAUGAAAAUUCAUCUAUUGGGUAAAUAAAAGGGAGAAUAGAAAACCAACCAACACAAUUACCAUUCACAUAUAUUAUAAUUGGACUGAUCAGUCCAAUAUUUCAUUUUUAUUGAUCUUAUUUCGACAAGAUUUGCUUUGUUCUUGCCGCAAAUUUGCUAUCAUGCUAUGUACAGUAAGGUUUGCCUUGUUCUUGCUAUUAUGCUUUACUAGCAAGUUUUACUCUGUUAUUUGCAUAACAUAUGCGUCAUACUAUUUAUGACAAGCUUUGCCAAUAAAAGCUAAGCUUUUUGCGGACACAUCUUGUCGCAAUUUUGCUGCGAAGGUUUGCUCGAGUUUUGCUAAAAACUUUGCGCCAAGUUUGCGUCAUUUUGCUAGCUAGAUGUAUAAUUUUACAUAAAAACGCCUCUUAUCGAUAACGUGACAUUACUGUUUACGUUUACAUUCACGAUAUUAUUAUAUCUUGAAUAAGGUGACCAGACGUCCCGAAUUGUGCGGGACAGUCCCGGAUUGUAGCUGUUUAUCUCGCAUUCAGACUGUCCCGGAAAAGACCGAAUUCUCCCGGAUUUUUAAACUCUUUUAUACAUUUUUACCAUUUUGAGCAUUUACAUGUUCAGUGACACAAGUUCCCUUAGAUGGCGCUAAUAUUUUAUACGGUAUCAGUAUUAUUUGCUAUUUCAUGCUGUGCGUGAUAGAUUGCCAGAUGAUGCUCUUGUUGUUAACUUGUUCUGUAUGAGUUUGGGGAUUUAAUCUUUCUAACUCUAACAUAAGUUUUAAGACUUUUAGACUAACCUAAAAUUAUUUUAUUUAUAUAUUAUUAUUAAAUUUAGUGCAUACAAUAAAAAGUAUGUAUUAAUUCUUUAUAUUAAUUAGAAUAGAAUUUAAUAUUAGAGUAAAUAGAUUUUAAUUUGAAUAAGUUCUAAAAAAAUGUGUUUUCAAAUAACUAUAUGUCAAAGAAAUGACUUUAUACAUUUACAAAUGAAUUAAAAAACAAAUUUGUUUUUAUAAAAAGGGCAAACUUGAAAACAAUGUCCACUGUGAUAUUUAUAAUAGCGAUUUCUCAAUUGGAUCAGGAGAUAAAAAUGACAUUAAAAGACAUAUUUUACCUGAUAAACACAAACGAGCAUUAAUUGCAACUUCUUCAGCAAAAUUGAGUGAUAUACUAUUUUCGUAUAGCCCAGUCAAAUUAGACUAAAAGGAUCAAAUUUCGGACCUCACCGAUUUCAAUGACCUUGAUAUAUGUUGUCAAGGUUAUUAUUCUGAACAAUUUUUCCCUAUACAUGUUACUACCGCUCGGCCUUAGUUUCCGAUUUAUACACAAAAAUUUUUCUUUAAUUUCUUGCUUCAAUUUCAUUAGUUUUGAGACAGAGGGGAGAGUAGGGUGCAAAAAACGUGUGGACAAGCUGCAGGAGGAGAAGCUUUGUUUUUCUGCUUUGCUCUGUAAGUAGGGGGAGGUGUAAAAAAGGGGUAAAAAACGUUUGAAAAUGUUUUAGUUUUAUUUUGUGUAGAAAGUCAUAAAACUUAUGUGAUAUAGAGAACGCGUGGGCUCUGCCCCUCUCCCUACACCUUCUCCUCGUAAUUUAUCCUAACUCUAACCCACCAAUUUUAUGUCGCUAUUUGGUUAAUGUGAAAACAUUGGACACGAACAGCGUGGAAAGUCACAAACCCAUGUGGUACUGUAUAAGCGUGGACGCCGUUUAUUUUACAUAAAACACUGAUAUCAUAUAUCGUAUUUAUAAAACGAAGCCCCUCCCUCACCCACGCGUUCUCUAUGCCACAUAAGUUUCAUGACUUUCCACACAAAACAAAAUUAAAACAUUUACAAUAAUAAAAGAAUAUAAUUUUUAUCAUUUUUAUUCCUCAGAGAAUGUAUACAUAGUUAUCAAAAAAAGCAUCAAUACAAUUCAUGAAAAUUAUAACAACGCGACGUCGAAAUAGAAAUUCUGCUAAAUAUCCACACAGUUAUUCCUUACAAACAUACAUACAGUAUUUUUGCACAUUUUUAUCUAGAGCAUCCCGACGGGGUGAGUGCGGGAAGGAAGUCGAAAGCCCUCCUUCCGUGUGUGUGUGUAUAUGUGCGUGCGACCACAGUGAAGAAAUGUCGUAUCGUAUUUAUUAAACUUUUUUUGUUAAUAAAUUUUUGUGUAUAACUCGAAAACUAUUGCCGAGCGGCAGCAACAUAUAUAGAAAAAAGUUGUUCAGAAUAACGACCCUAAUAACAUAAAUCAAGGUCAUUGAAGUCGGUGAGGUCGCCCUUAUUCUGCAUAAUUACCAAAAAUA